UGGGCCUCAUCUGGGCACCUCCAAAUCCUAAACAAAUAAGAGGAAUCUGAAGAUCUCUCCAUCGCUCCUGCUGGGUAACCUCAGGCAGAGGCUAAAGUAGA
This is a long non-coding RNA of Myotis davidii, 101 nucleotides long. RefSeq lists it as uncharacterized. The record is from RefSeq and is a predicted model, not a curated record. The transcript is spliced from 5 exons. Lineage: Eukaryota; Metazoa; Chordata; Mammalia; Chiroptera; Vespertilionidae.